AAACUGGCGAACGGGUGAGUAACGCGUAGGCAACCUACCUUUUAGACUGGGAUAACACUGUGAAAAUGGUGCUAAUACUGGAUAAAAUCAUAUAUCAUAAGAUGCUAUGAUUAAAGGUGGCUUCGGCUAUUACUAUUGGAUGGGCCUGCGUCUGAUUAGCUUGUUGGUAAGGUAAAAGCUUACCAAGGCAACGAUCAGUAGCUGGUUCGAGAGGAUGAUCAGCCACACUGGGACUGAGAUACGGCCCAGACUCCUACGGGAGGCAGCAGUGGGGAAUUUUGCGCAAUGGGGGAAACCUUGACGCAGCAACGCCGCGUGAUCGAAGAAGCUCUGUGGAGUGUAAAGAUCUGUCAUAGGGGAAGAAUGGUUUUUGGUUUAACAUACCAAAGAUUUGACGGUACCCUAUAAGAAAGCCCCGGCUAACUUCGUGCCAGCAGCCGCGGUAAUACUAGGGGGGCAAGCGUUGUCCGGAUUCAUUGGGCGUAAAGAGUUCGUAGGCGGUCUGAACAGUCAAAAUUGAAAUACCACGGCUUAACCGUGGACCCGGUUUCGAUACUGCUAAUCUUGAGUGAGACAGAGGUAAGUGGAAUUUGUCAUGUAGCGGUGAAAUGCAUAGAUAUGACAUGGAACACCUAUUGCGAAAGCAGCUCACUAAACCAUUACUGACGCUCAUGGACGAAAGUGUGGGUAGCGAACAGGAUUAGAUACCCUGGUAGUCCACACCGUAAACUAUGAUCACUAGAUGUUGGCGAUAUAAUGUCAGUGUCAAAGAGAAAUCGUUAAGUGAUCCACCUGGGGAGUACGUUCGCAAGAAUGAAACUCAAAGGAAUUGACGGGGGCCCGCACAAGCGGUGGAGCAUGUGGUUUAAUUCGAUGAUACGCGAGGAACCUUACCAAGGCUUAAAUGUAAAACGACCGAUUGAGAAAUCAAUCUUUUUUCGAACGAUUUACAAGGUGCUGCAUGGUUGUCGUCAGCUCGUGCCGUGAGGUGUCGGGUUAAGUCCCAUAACGAGCGCAACCCCUAUUUUUAGUUACCAACGAGUAAUGUCGGGAACUCUAGAAAGACUGCCUGUGUAAACAGAGAGGAAGGUGGGGAUGACGUCAAAUCAUCACGGCCCUUAUGUCUUGGGCUACACACGUGCUACAAUGGUUACUACAAUGUGAUGCCAUCUGGUGACAGAGAGCUAAUCCAUAAAGGUAAUCUCAGUUCGGAUCGGAGUCUGCAACUCGACUCUGUGAAGUUGGAAUCGCUAGUAAUCGUAUAUCAGCAAUGAUACGGUGAAUACGUUCCCGGGCCUUGUACACACCGCCCGUCAAGCCAUGGAAGUUUUGAAUACUUAAAGUCAGUCACU
Molecule: ribosomal RNA, 1352 nt
Filed under: uncultured bacterium
Lineage: Bacteria
Description: bacterial SSU rRNA
Rfam family: Bacterial small subunit ribosomal RNA
Source: RNAcentral